GGCGCUUUAGCUCAGCUGGCUAGAGCAACCGGUUCAUACCCGGUAGGUCGUGUGUUCGAAUCACACAGGCGCUACCA
Molecule: transfer RNA, 77 nt
Filed under: Bacillota bacterium
Lineage: Bacteria; Bacillati; Bacillota
Description: tRNA-Met
Rfam family: tRNA
About the family: Transfer RNA (tRNA) molecules are approximately 80 nucleotides in length. Their secondary structure includes four short double-helical elements and three loops (D, anti-codon, and T loops).
Source: RNAcentral